ACAACAGUUUCCGUACACAUAUAAUUUGGCAGCGGUUUAUGCGCAACUUUUUGAUGCGCUGUCUGAGGCGUUUGCGACAUUUGUGGCGCAUGCAAUCGCGAUUGACGAGUCGGCGGAGAGAGUGGGAGCGGCUGCGUGCGAUUUUCCCGAUUUCCAUCCAUCUCCUAGAUUCGAUUAGUUUAAUUUUUCAUUCAUUAAUUUAAAUAUUGGGCGACUUAGUGUAUGACUAAGAAAUUGCACGAUACACGAGAGCUCGAAGUGGGACCGGACAUAAGUCAUCGACGUCUCUGAGGACCAAGGGGGUGUUUCCAGAAGGAAUGUGACUCAUGUCCAGCUGAAAAAAGAACGUGACUGAAGUCUGUGUGGAAUUUGUGAGGUAUUGGUUCCAGAGUUAAGUUUUAGUCUGUAGUUCUAGAAACAAUCAAAAUGUUUAGUUGGCUUGAUGGACAUGAAGAGAAGAAGAAGCAUGUUGAAGUCUAUGAAACUGUGUUUGAAGGUCUGAAAAAGAUCUACAAACAAAAAGUGUUGCCUCUUGAAGAAGCAUAUCAGUUCCAUGACUUCCACUCUCCAAAGCUGGAUGACCCAGAUUUUGAUGCCAAGCCCAUCAUCAUGCUGGUUGGUCAGUACUCCACUGGAAAGACAACAUUCAUCAGGUAUCUGCUCGAGAGAGACUUCCCUGGCAUCAGAAUUGGACCUGAGCCAACCACUGAUGGGUUCAUUGCAGUCAUGCAUGGAGACCAUGAUGGCAUCAUCCCAGGAAAUGCAUUGGUGGUGGAUCCCAAAAAGCCAUUCAGGCCACUGUCAAAGUUUGGAAAUGCCUUCCUGAACAGGCUGCAAUGCUCCACUGUGAACUCAACUGUUCUCAGGUCCCUGACAAUCAUUGACACACCUGGCAUCCUCUCGGGUGAGAAGCAGAGGGUGGACAGAGGCUAUGACUUUGCCGGAGUGCUGGAGUGGUUUGCCGAGAGGGUGGACAGGAUCAUCCUGCUGUUUGAUGCUCACAAACUGGACAUCUCAGACGAGUUCAGGAGGUCCAUUGGUGCCCUGAAGGGACAUGACGACAAGAUCAGGAUAGUGCUGAACAAGGCAGACAUGGUGGACCACCAGCAGCUGAUGAGGGUGUACGGAGCCCUGAUGUGGUCUCUUGGGAAGGUGAUCGCCACCCCUGAGGUCUCCAGGGUGUACAUCGGCUCAUUCUGGGACCAGCCUCUGCGCUAUGACUCCAACAGGAAGCUCUUUGAAGCUGAGGCACAAGAUCUGUUCCUGGACCUGCAGUCACUCCCCAGGAAUGCUGCUCUGCGAAAGCUGAAUGAUCUCAUCAAGAGGGCAAGGCUGGCAAAGGUGCACGCCUACAUCAUAGCUGCUCUGAAGAAGGAAAUGCCAUCGAUGUUUGGCAAGGACAGCAAGAAGAAGGAGCUCAUCAAAAACCUGUCAGCCAUCUACGAGAGUGUGCAGCGAGAGCACCAGAUCAGUCCCGGAGACUUCCCAGACAUUGCACGCAUGCAGGAACGUCUUCUUCACGAAGACUUCAGCAAGUUCCAGCCGCUGAAGCCGCGCCUGAUCCAGAACGUGGACAAGAUGCUGGCCGAGGACAUCGCCAGGCUGAUGGCCAUGGUCCCGCUGGAGGAGAAGCAGAACAUGGUCCCCAAAGAGGACGGCAAGCCCAACAGCGGCCACACGGUUUCAGGCGGCGCGUUCGACGGCGUGCGCAGUGCCGACACGCCGUUCGGCUUCAACAAGUGUGAGGGGGCCGACGCCGGCGCCGGCGAGGCCGAGUGGGUGGUGAACCGCGACCGACCCAAGUACGACCCCAUCUUCUUCAGCAUGAACCCCGUGGACAACAAGGUCACCGGAGCAGCGGCCAAGGCGGAGAUGGUCAAGUCGAAGCUGCCCAACACGGUGCUAGGCAAGGUGUGGAAGCUGGCCGACCACGACAAGGACGGCAUGCUGGACGUGGAGGAGUUCGCCCUGGCCAUGCACUUGAUCAACAUCAAGCUGGACGGGCACGACCUGCCGGCCGAGCUGCCCGCCCACCUGGUGCCGCCCAGCCAGCGCGGCUUCUGAGCGAGCGCACACCGCUCAUAGUGGGGCGAGCGAGUGUGAGAGAGUGACGAACGGAGCGGGGAGCGCAGUACUAUCAGCGGUGUACGCUUCAGACCGGCACACCACCACACUAUGGCGGCGUUAUUUUUGUACUCGGCCGCAUUAUCACUCGCGCGGCGCCCGCUCUUCUGCAUGCUUCCUGUAUCCAGUUAUCCAGCGAGUCUGAUGUCUUCUCGAGGCCUUCAGCGGCGGGGCGCGCGCGGCCCGCCGCCGUCCCGUCCCCGUUUGGCGUCCCAGGCGCGCGGCCCGCCAACAGGCGGCGCCGCCGACCAACAAAUUAGUGCUUGUUCUGUCAGCGAGGGCGUCGCGGCGACCCUUCUGUUGCUUGACGGUGCCUUUGGCCGGUCUGUUUGUGUUUCUUCAGACGGCCGUGCGAGGCGAGCUCGCCUGCCGCGUGCGAGUGUGUACCCGUAGUGUCGCUCGUGUGUUGCCGUUGGUAGUUUGUGGCUAGGCCCGAUUGGUCACAGCGCACAGUCAGCUGGGUAUGAUCGUACCCGGAGCGGUUUCGACCCCUCGGACGAAAUCGUACGUGUCGCAGAAAUUAGCCGUGACGUCUAUAACGAUAUUGAACGAAUCCACGUACCGCCGCGGCGCAGUUAUUGGUUAUUGUUACUGGGCCACGGAGCUCUGAGCCCGCCUCGACCCACAGAGUAUUCCAGAUCGGUAGUUAUUUAUUUACGGUGUGCGCGGAGUCAUUGUAACGCGUUCGGUCCGUCCGCCGACCGCACACAGAUUAAAACCACAUAGUCACACGGGCGCGGCUAUCUAGGCUUAGGCAGGGAAAACGGUGGCGAAUACACCUAUAUUAUAUAUCAGAUGG
This 2923-nucleotide unclassified non-coding RNA is filed under the name Amphibalanus amphitrite. RNAcentral's name for it is "eH domain-containing protein 3-like, transcript variant X2". The record is from RNAcentral. Lineage: Eukaryota; Metazoa; Arthropoda; Thecostraca; Balanomorpha; Balanidae.